This 713-nucleotide long non-coding RNA is filed under the name Phasianus colchicus (ring-necked pheasant). Its description in RNAcentral is "lncRNA (ENSPCLG00000014392.1)". Lineage: Eukaryota; Metazoa; Chordata; Aves; Galliformes; Phasianidae. The record is from RNAcentral.
GUGGUGGUGCUGAGGGGGUGUCACCCUGUGGGUGGGGGUCACCCUGUGGGUGGUGGUGGUGGUGGGGAUCACCCUAUGGUUGGGGGUCACCUAUGGGUGGUGGGGGUCACCCUAUGGUAGGGGGUCACCUAUGGGUGGUGGUGGUCCUACAGGUGAUGACAGUCACUCCACAGGUGGUGGUGGUGGUCCCCCCAUGGUUGGUGGUCACCCUAUGGGUGGUGGUGGUCACCACGUGGGUGGUGUCCUACAGGCGGUGGUGGUCCUACGGGUGUUCGGUGUCUUCUCCAUGUAGAUUUCAACAACCCUACACCCCGUACCCCACCACCACACCCCUCUCUGACUGUCCCUGGUCCUCCUGGUCCUACAGGCGGUGGUCCUACAGCUGUUGUCCCUCUACGGGUGUUUCCUGCCUUCCCCUUUGUAGAUUUCUGCAACCCAACACCCAACCAUCACCCCCUCCGACUGUUCCCCCUACAGGUGUUGCUCACCCUACAGCUGUAGUCCCUACAGGUGUUUCCUGUCUUCCCCUUUACGGACUUCUACAACCCAACACCCAACCAUCACCCCCCUCCAACUGUUCCCCUUACAGGUGUUGCUCACCCUACACGUGUUGUCCCUACAGGUGUUGCUCACCCUACAGGUGUUGUCCCUAUAGGUGUUGCUCACCCUACAGCUGUAGUCCCUACAGGUGUUUCCUGUCUUCCCCUUUGUAG